This 484-nucleotide ribosomal RNA is filed under the name uncultured bacterium. Its description in RNAcentral is "bacterial SSU rRNA". It matches the Rfam family "Bacterial small subunit ribosomal RNA", at positions 28 to 525 of the family's 1533-position model. The record is from RNAcentral.
GAUGAACGCUAGCGGCAGGCUUAAUACAUGCAAGUCGAGGGGUCAGCAAUGACACCGGCGGACGGGUGCGUAACGCGUAUGCAACCUACCUACAUCAGGGGGAUAGCCCUAGGAAACUGGGAUUAACACCGCAUAAUAUUAUUAAUGGCAUCAUUGAUAAUUGAAAUAUUUAUAGGAAGUAGAUGGGCAUGCGUAAGAUUAGCUAGUUGGUAAGGUAACGGCUUACCAAGGCUACGAUCUUUAGGGGCUCUGAGAGGAGUAUCCCCCACACUGGCACUGAGAUACGGGCCAGACUCCUACGGGAGGCAGCAGUAGGGAAUAUUGGGCAAUGGAGGCAACUCUGACCCAGCCAUGCCGCGUGCAGGAAGACGGCCUCUGGGUUGUAAACUGCUUUUGAAUGGGAAGAAUGUGUGGCUUGCGAGCUAUAAUGACGGUACCAUUAGAAUAAGCCACGGCUAACUACGUGCCAGCAGCCGCGGUAAAA